UCGCCUUUUGGUUAAAGUAGAAGGUCUAACCUGCCCACUGAAAAAUUAAAGGGCCGCGGUAUAUUGACCGUGCAAAGGUAGCAUAAUCAUUAGUCUUCUAAUUAAAGGCUGGAAUGAAUGGUUGGACGAGGUGUUGACUGUCUCAGUAAAAUUAAAUUAGAAUUUAACUUUUUAGUCAAAAGGCUAAAAUAGAAUUGGAGGACGAGAAGACCCUAUAGAGCUUUAUAUUUGGAAAAUUUAAUUAAUUUAGUAGGAUUUUAAUUAAAUUAUAAAAGUAUUUCGUUGGGGUGACGGGGAGAUAAAAAUAACUCUCUUUAAAGUUUGUCAUUGAUGUAUGAUUAUUUGAUCCAUUUUUAAUGAUUAUAAGACUAAGUUACCUUAGGGAUAACAGCGUAAUCUUUUUCGAGAGUUCUUAUCGACAAAAAGGGUUGCGACCUCGAUGUUGGAUUAAGGAUUAUUUUUGGGUGUAGAAGUUCAAAGUUUAGGUCUGUUCGACCUUUGAAUCCUUACAU
RNAcentral lists this ribosomal RNA (512 nucleotides) under Ameletoides sp. BYU IGCEP159. RNAcentral's name for it is "partial 16S ribosomal RNA". It matches the Rfam family "Bacterial large subunit ribosomal RNA", at positions 1828 to 2601 of the family's 2925-position model. Lineage: Eukaryota; Metazoa; Arthropoda; Insecta; Ephemeroptera; Nesameletidae. The record is from RNAcentral.